This 459-nucleotide ribosomal RNA is filed under the name uncultured bacterium. RNAcentral's name for it is "partial 16S ribosomal RNA". It matches the Rfam family "Bacterial small subunit ribosomal RNA", at positions 338 to 795 of the family's 1533-position model. The record is from RNAcentral.
CCUACGGGAGGCAGCAGUGAGGAAUAUUGGUCAAUGGCCGGAAGGCUGAACCAGCCAAGCCGCGUGAGGGAGGAAGGCGCAGAGCGUCGCAGACCUCUUUUGCCGGGGGACAAAAGGCCGGACUCGUCCGGUCCUGAGGGUACCCGGAGAAAAAGCAUCGGCUAACUCCGUGCCAGCAGCCGCGGUAAUACGGAGGAUGCGAGCGUUAUCCGGAUUCAUUGGGUUUAAGGGGUGCGCAGGCGGGCCUUUAAGCCGGCGGUGAAAUCGCGGGGCUCAACCCCGCCGUGCCGGCGGAACUGGGGGCCUUGAGUGCGGCGGAGGCAUGCGGAAUGCGCGGUGUAGAGGUGAAAUGCAUAGAUAUCGCGCAGAACCCCGAUUGCGAAGGCAGCGGGCCGUGCCGCCACUGACGCUGAGGCACGAAAGCGCGGGGAUCGAACAGGAUUAGAUACCCCGGUAGUC